ACUUGUGGCAAGCAAUCUGGAAAAUGAAUGUUCUUGCAAAAGUAAAAAAUUUUGUGUGGCGAGCAUGUCGAGACUCUCUCCCAACGAAGACAAAUCUGGUUAAGCAAAGGGUCGUUGACGACGCUACUUGUGACUGCUGUAAGGUCCAACAGGAGGAUGUGGUCCAUGCCUUAUACUCUUGCCCAAAGCUACUGGAUUUAUGGAACCAAUGCUCACAGUGGAAACCUAGCAGGCUGCAGCAAAGUCUUGAGUUUCUUCGACAUCAUAAAGUGAUAAACAAAUUACAUUGACUUGUGUAAUUUGUUUAUCACUUUAUUUAUGGUGUUUUAUGAACAAUAAGUGCUAAAGAGGGGACAAUAGCCAUUAUCGUUAAUGGACUUGAUACUAGGUAGAGAAGUCAAGGAAGCAGAUGAAGGAAAGGAAGAACAGGGCCAAGAAGAUCCGUGGAGUAAAGAAGACAAAGUCUUCAGAUGCUGCCAAGGCGAAGAAGAAAUGAGUUUUUCGUGAUUCUUAUAGACCUGAUUUGCAGCAAUGGACUUUAUUUAAUAGCUCUAUUUUCUUGUUAGGUUUUCUCAAAAUGAAAUCUUUUGUUGUUAGCAUCGGUUUUGGUGUUUUCUGAUGUUUUGUUAUACUAUCAGAUUUUGAGUAUUAUGCAGAGGAUGAUUUUGAAAUUUUUGGCAACA
This is a long non-coding RNA of Quercus lobata, 683 nucleotides long. RefSeq lists it as uncharacterized. NCBI's taxonomy places the organism in Eukaryota, Viridiplantae, Streptophyta, Magnoliopsida, Fagales, Fagaceae. The record is from RefSeq and is a predicted model, not a curated record. The transcript has 3 exons.